RNAcentral lists this long non-coding RNA (335 nucleotides) under Nicotiana benthamiana. RNAcentral describes it as "long non-coding RNA (NBEN_LNC033646)". Lineage: Eukaryota; Viridiplantae; Streptophyta; Magnoliopsida; Solanales; Solanaceae. The record is from RNAcentral.
AGAGUUAGUCAAUGCCUGAUCUGUAGCGUGUAGCGUACGUAGAAUUUUGUGUGAGCAAUGCCAACUUAUUAUCAUCUCAGCUUAUACUUAGAGUUAGGAUUUGGAGUUGUAGAUGUUCUAAGAAUUUAGUCAUUCUCCCAAAUUAAUGUUGAUCUAUAAUAUAUGUACAUAAUUUUCAAUAUUCGUGUUUGAAUUUUUUCGACGAAGCGGUGUCGGAUAACAUAUCUUUGCCACUGCAUGAUUAGUAAAGACACGCACAUUUGGUUUCAAUGACCACGGAAUGAUAUUCCUUAUGGGGGAAAGGACUUGAGGUUUAAGAUAAAAGUCAGAUUCUG